CACAGAACGCUGAGCCGUGAAGCCGUUGCCCGGGUAAUAACACUUCAAAAAUACGGGGAUGAUGGAAACGCUGUGGGUCGGAAGGGUUUCCUCGGAUCCGGGGGCCGAUGCUCCCCGCAGUGCUCUAGGCACGGCUCCCCCAGCUCCCAGCUUCGUUAGCCUGUACUUAACUCAAUACAGCGGCAGGUUCCAUCCCUGUUCCUCAACGCGUCCGCGGGGUUGUUGGCACAGAAGAGAAUGUAAACACUGGGUUCCACCUGCUGGAGCACCUGCUGAGACGCUUUACCUAGAUAGGGACUGGAGGGUUGGAAGGGAACAAAGUGAAAGGUGGAGGUCCUGUGAGACCUGACGGGGAGGCCUGGAUAGAGAGGAAGGCGCGUGAAGAAGAAAGACAGUGAGGAGAGUGAUUCCAGCAUGUGCUCCUGAGGUCCCAAACAAAUCUCUGACCAGGCUGCUGUGAAUGAAGCUUUACUCCCACAGUAUUAUGAAAGCAAACACAAGCCCAGGGUCAAGUGCUUCUUUUGUUCCAGAAGUUCUUUCCCACGAGUUCAAUCCUGCCAUUAGCAUUGAUUUCCACAGCUUUAAUCUAGGACCUCCUAUCUCAGCUUGUUAAAGAACUGUUCAACUAUGACUUUCCUAUAAUCUUAAAGGGAAAAAUGAGAAGUAAGAGGUGGAAAGGGGGUAAAAAUGAAGUCACCUACUUACCUUUAC
This is a long non-coding RNA of Mustela erminea (ermine), 711 nucleotides long. RefSeq lists it as uncharacterized. Lineage: Eukaryota; Metazoa; Chordata; Mammalia; Carnivora; Mustelidae. The record is from RefSeq and is a predicted model, not a curated record. The transcript has 3 exons.